This 296-nucleotide long non-coding RNA is filed under the name Homo sapiens (human). Its description in RNAcentral is "non-protein coding lnc-PPIAL4F-10:1". The record is from RNAcentral. Lineage: Eukaryota; Metazoa; Chordata; Mammalia; Primates; Hominidae.
AACCACAAGCAGCUUCAGACAGGAACCAAUGAGGCCAUCAAAACCCUCAACAGAGGCAUCUGUGAGUUCAUUGUGGUGGCUGCAGACACCACGCUGCAAGAGAGCAUUCUGCACUCCCACUGCUGUGUGAAGAGAAGAAUGUGCUGGGCCUGCCUGGAAUGUUUGCGCACUCCAGGCGGGCCCUGGGGCGGGCCUGUGGGGUCUCCAGUCCUGUCAUCACCUGUUCUGUCACCAUCAAAGAAGGCUCACAGCUGAUCCAGUCCAUUCAGCAGUCCGUUGAAAGGCUCCUAGUCUAA